UAACUUUAGGUGUGAUGCACGAAAAAUUUUGAAUUUUUAAGUAAUAAUUAAUUUUAUUAAAGUUAA
Non-coding RNA from Dermacentor andersoni, 66 nucleotides. The record is from the annotation of a RefSeq genome assembly. NCBI's taxonomy places the organism in Eukaryota, Metazoa, Arthropoda, Arachnida, Ixodida, Ixodidae.